UUAAGUUGUUAAGUAGUAAUGAACCAAAUUGUGCUAUAGCCUCAACUUCUACUUCAUCUUCACUAAGCCUAAAGAAAAAGUUGCAACAAGAACACAUUUUUUCAGCUGGGAUUUUCUCAUUCAAGCCUAUAAAAAAACCAAAAUUUUGUGACAAAAAACAUAGUAUUCAUAACCUUAAGAAACAACAUAGUUAUGUGAAAAAUUUGGAACAAUCAAAAUUUUCAAGCAAAAAUAAAGUACCUAAUGAAGUUGAAGAUUUCUUCUUUUUUCCUCCAAACCCUUUUUUUCCACCACCUAUUAUCCCUAAUCCACUUCAACCUCCACCUUUGAUUCCUAACCCUUUGCAACCACCACCUUUGAUUCCAAAUCCAUUUCAACCACCAAGUCCACCCUUGAUUCCUAAUCCAUUUCAACCACCAAGUCCACCACUUAUUCCAAAUCCAUUUCAACCUCCUCCAUCAAAUCCACCACUUAUUCCUAAUCCAUUUCAACCUCCCCCAGCAAGUCCUCCACCACUCAUUCCAAAUCCAUUUCAGCCUCCACCAUCAAGUCCACCAC
RNAcentral lists this long non-coding RNA (558 nucleotides) under Medicago truncatula (barrel medic). Its description in RNAcentral is "long non-coding RNA (MTRU_LNC003856)". Lineage: Eukaryota; Viridiplantae; Streptophyta; Magnoliopsida; Fabales; Fabaceae. The record is from RNAcentral.